This 2904-nucleotide ribosomal RNA is filed under the name Escherichia coli. Its description in RNAcentral is "bacterial LSU rRNA". It matches the Rfam family "Bacterial large subunit ribosomal RNA". Lineage: Bacteria; Pseudomonadati; Pseudomonadota; Gammaproteobacteria; Enterobacterales; Enterobacteriaceae. The record is from RNAcentral.
UUAAGCGACUAAGCGUACACGGUGGAUGCCCUGGCAGUCAGAGGCGAUGAAGGACGUGCUAAUCUGCGAUAAGCGUCGGUAAGGUGAUAUGAACCGUUAUAACCGGCGAUUUCCGAAUGGGGAAACCCAGUGUGUUUCGACACACUAUCAUUAACUGAAUCCAUAGGUUAAUGAGGCGAACCGGGGGAACUGAAACAUCUAAGUACCCCGAGGAAAAGAAAUCAACCGAGAUUCCCCCAGUAGCGGCGAGCGAACGGGGAGCAGCCCAGAGCCUGAAUCAGUGUGUGUGUUAGUGGAAGCGUCUGGAAAGGCGCGCGAUACAGGGUGACAGCCCCGUACACAAAAAUGCACAUGCUGUGAGCUCGAUGAGUAGGGCGGGACACGUGGUAUCCUGUCUGAAUAUGGGGGGACCAUCCUCCAAGGCUAAAUACUCCUGACUGACCGAUAGUGAACCAGUACCGUGAGGGAAAGGCGAAAAGAACCCCGGCGAGGGGAGUGAAAAAGAACCUGAAACCGUGUACGUACAAGCAGUGGGAGCACGCUUAGGCGUGUGACUGCGUACCUUUUGUAUAAUGGGUCAGCGACUUAUAUUCUGUAGCAAGGUUAACCGAAUAGGGGAGCCGAAGGGAAACCGAGUCUUAACUGGGCGUUAAGUUGCAGGGUAUAGACCCGAAACCCGGUGAUCUAGCCAUGGGCAGGUUGAAGGUUGGGUAACACUAACUGGAGGACCGAACCGACUAAUGUUGAAAAAUUAGCGGAUGACUUGUGGCUGGGGGUGAAAGGCCAAUCAAACCGGGAGAUAGCUGGUUCUCCCCGAAAGCUAUUUAGGUAGCGCCUCGUGAAUUCAUCUCCGGGGGUAGAGCACUGUUUCGGCAAGGGGGUCAUCCCGACUUACCAACCCGAUGCAAACUGCGAAUACCGGAGAAUGUUAUCACGGGAGACACACGGCGGGUGCUAACGUCCGUCGUGAAGAGGGAAACAACCCAGACCGCCAGCUAAGGUCCCAAAGUCAUGGUUAAGUGGGAAACGAUGUGGGAAGGCCCAGACAGCCAGGAUGUUGGCUUAGAAGCAGCCAUCAUUUAAAGAAAGCGUAAUAGCUCACUGGUCGAGUCGGCCUGCGCGGAAGAUGUAACGGGGCUAAACCAUGCACCGAAGCUGCGGCAGCGACGCUGAUGCGUUGUUGGGUAGGGGAGCGUUCUGUAAGCCUGCGAAGGUGUGCUGUGAGGCAUGCUGGAGGUAUCAGAAGUGCGAAUGCUGACAUAAGUAACGAUAAAGCGGGUGAAAAGCCCGCUCGCCGGAAGACCAAGGGUUCCUGUCCAACGUUAAUCGGGGCAGGGUGAGUCGACCCCUAAGGCGAGGCCGAAAGGCGUAGUCGAUGGGAAACAGGUUAAUAUUCCUGUACUUGGUGUUACUGCGAAGGGGGGACGGAGAAGGCUAUGUUGGCCGGGCGACGGUUGUCCCGGUUUAAGCGUGUAGGCUGGUUUUCCAGGCAAAUCCGGAAAAUCAAGGCUGAGGCGUGAUGACGAGGCACUACGGUGCUGAAGCAACAAAUGCCCUGCUUCCAGGAAAAGCCUCUAAGCAUCAGGUAACAUCAAAUCGUACCCCAAACCGACACAGGUGGUCAGGUAGAGAAUACCAAGGCGCUUGAGAGAACUCGGGUGAAGGAACUAGGCAAAAUGGUGCCGUAACUUCGGGAGAAGGCACGCUGAUAUGUAGGUGAAGUCCCUCGCGGAUGGAGCUGAAAUCAGUCGAAGAUACCAGCUGGCUGCAACUGUUUAUUAAAAACACAGCACUGUGCAAACACGAAAGUGGACGUAUACGGUGUGACGCCUGCCCGGUGCCGGAAGGUUAAUUGAUGGGGUUAGCCGCAAGGCGAAGCUCUUGAUCGAAGCCCCGGUAAACGGCGGCCGUAACUAUAACGGUCCUAAGGUAGCGAAAUUCCUUGUCGGGUAAGUUCCGACCUGCACGAAUGGCGUAAUGAUGGCCAGGCUGUCUCCACCCGAGACUCAGUGAAAUUGAACUCGCUGUGAAGAUGCAGUGUACCCGCGGCAAGACGGAAAGACCCCGUGAACCUUUACUAUAGCUUGACACUGAACAUUGAGCCUUGAUGUGUAGGAUAGGUGGGAGGCUUUGAAGUGUGGACGCCAGUCUGCAUGGAGCCGACCUUGAAAUACCACCCUUUAAUGUUUGAUGUUCUAACGUGGACCCGUAAUCCGGGUUGCGGACAGUGUCUGGUGGGUAGUUUGACUGGGGCGGUCUCCUCCUAAAGAGUAACGGAGGAGCACGAAGGUUGGCUAAUCCUGGUCGGACAUCAGGAGGUUAGUGCAAUGGCAUAAGCCAGCUUGACUGCGAGCGUGACGGCGCGAGCAGGUGCGAAAGCAGGUCAUAGUGAUCCGGUGGUUCUGAAUGGAAGGGCCAUCGCUCAACGGAUAAAAGGUACUCCGGGGAUAACAGGCUGAUACCGCCCAAGAGUUCAUAUCGACGGCGGUGUUUGGCACCUCGAUGUCGGCUCAUCACAUCCUGGGGCUGAAGUAGGUCCCAAGGGUAUGGCUGUUCGCCAUUUAAAGUGGUACGCGAGCUGGGUUUAGAACGUCGUGAGACAGUUCGGUCCCUAUCUGCCGUGGGCGCUGGAGAACUGAGGGGGGCUGCUCCUAGUACGAGAGGACCGGAGUGGACGCAUCACUGGUGUUCGGGUUGUCAUGCCAAUGGCACUGCCCGGUAGCUAAAUGCGGAAGAGAUAAGUGCUGAAAGCAUCUAAGCACGAAACUUGCCCCGAGAUGAGUUCUCCCUGACUCCUUGAGAGUCCUGAAGGAACGUUGAAGACGACGACGUUGAUAGGCCGGGUGUGUAAGCGCAGCGAUGCGUUGAGCUAACCGGUACUAAUGAACCGUGAGGCUUAACCUU